RNAcentral lists this ribosomal RNA (253 nucleotides) under uncultured bacterium. RNAcentral's name for it is "partial 16S ribosomal RNA". It matches the Rfam family "Bacterial small subunit ribosomal RNA", at positions 524 to 776 of the family's 1533-position model. The record is from RNAcentral.
GACGAACCGAGCGAACGUUGUUCGGAAUCACUGGGCUUAAAGGGCGCGUAGGCGGGCAUCAUAGUCUGUGGUGAAAUCCGGCAGCUUAACUGUCGAAUUGCCAUGGAUACUGGGUGUCUCGAGGGAGGCAGGGGUGCGCGGAACUAAUGGUGGAGCGGUGAAAUGCGUUGAUAUCAGGAGGAACACCAAUUGCGAAGGCAGCUCGCUGGGACGUAACUGACGCUGAGACGCGAAAGCGUGGGGAGCAAACAGG